UACAGAGGGGGCAAGCGUUAUUCGGAAUUAUUGGGCGUAAAGGGCGCGUAGGCGGCUUGGCAAGUGGAUGGUGAAAUCCCUCGGCUUAACCGAGGAACUGCCGUCCAAACUGCUUCGCUUGAGACCAGGAGAGGUGAGUGGAAUUCCCAGUGUAGCGGUGAAAUGCGUAGAUAUUGGGAGGAACACCAGUGGCGAAGGCGGCUCACUGGACUGGUACUGACGCUGAUGCGCGAAAGCUAGGGGAGCAAACGGG
This 253-nucleotide ribosomal RNA is filed under the name uncultured bacterium. RNAcentral describes it as "partial 16S ribosomal RNA". It matches the Rfam family "Bacterial small subunit ribosomal RNA", at positions 524 to 776 of the family's 1533-position model. The record is from RNAcentral.